This is a non-coding RNA of Salmo salar (Atlantic salmon), 266 nucleotides long. The record is from RefSeq and is a predicted model, not a curated record. NCBI's taxonomy places the organism in Eukaryota, Metazoa, Chordata, Actinopteri, Salmoniformes, Salmonidae.
AGAGGACAGGAAUGGACAGAUCAGGUAGAAGACAGGAAUGGACAGAUCAGGUAGAAGACAGGAAUGGACAGAUCAGGUAGAAGACAGGAAUGGACAGAUCAGGUAGAAGACAGGAAUGCACAGAUCAGGUAGAGGACAGGAAUGGACAGAUCAGGUAGAAGACAGGAAUGGACAGAUCAGGUAGAAGACAGGAAUGGACAGAUCAGGUAGAAGACAGGAAUGGACAGAUCAGGUAGAAGACAGGAAUGGACAGAUCAGGUAGAAGA